GAUGAACGCUAGCGAUAGGCCUAACACAUGCAAGUCGAGGGGCAUCACAUGAAGUAGCAAUACGGAUGGUGGCGACCGGCGCACGGGUGAGUAACACGUAUGCAACCUGCCUUCAACAAGGGGAUAACCCGUUGAAAGACGGACUAAUACCCUAUAAUACAGGGGCCCCGCAUGGGGAUAUUUGUUAAAGAUUUAUCGGUUGAAGAUGGGCAUGCGUUCCAUUAGCUGGUUGGUGGGGUAACGGCCCACCAAGGCAACGAUGGAUAGGGGAACUGAGAGGUUUAUCCCCCACACUGGUACUGAGACACGGACCAGACUCCUACGGGAGGCAGCAGUGAGGAAUAUUGGUCAAUGGACGCAAGUCUGAACCAGCCACGUCGCGUGAAGGAAGACGGCCCUACGGGUUGUAAACUUCUUUUAUACGGGAAUAAAGUGCCCCACGCGUGGGGUUUUGCAUGUACCGUAUGAAUAAGGAUCGGCUAACUCCGUGCCAGCAGCCGCGGUAAAUACGC
RNAcentral lists this ribosomal RNA (512 nucleotides) under uncultured bacterium. Its description in RNAcentral is "bacterial SSU rRNA". It matches the Rfam family "Bacterial small subunit ribosomal RNA", at positions 28 to 528 of the family's 1533-position model. The record is from RNAcentral.